AUGAAUGCUGGCGGCGUGCCUAAUACCUGCAAGUCGAGCGCACGGACGAGAAGCUUGCUUCUCUGAUGUUAGCGGCGGACGGGUGAGUAACACGUGGAUAACCUACCUAUAAGACUGGGAUAACUUCGGGAAACCGGAGCUAAUACCGGAUAAUAUUUUGAACCGCAUGGUUCAAAAGUGAAAGACGGUCUUGCUGUCACUUAUAGAUGGAUCCGCGCUGCAUUAGCUAGUUGGUAAGGUAACGGCUUACCAAGGCAACGAUGCAUAGCCGACCUGAGAGGGUGAUCGGCCACACUGGAACUGAGACACGGUCCAGACUCCUACGGGAGGCAGCAGUAGGGAAUCUUCCGCAAUGGGCGAAAGCCUGACGGAGCAACGCCGCGUGAGUGAUGAAGGUCUUCGGAUCGUAAAACUCUGUUAUUAGGGAAGAACAUAUGUGUAAGUAACUGUGCACAUCUUGACGGUACCUAAUCAGAAAGCCACGGCUAACUACGUG
Molecule: ribosomal RNA, 496 nt
Filed under: uncultured bacterium
Lineage: Bacteria
Description: partial 16S ribosomal RNA
Rfam family: Bacterial small subunit ribosomal RNA
Source: RNAcentral